This 675-nucleotide ribosomal RNA is filed under the name uncultured Vibrionaceae bacterium. RNAcentral describes it as "bacterial SSU rRNA". It matches the Rfam family "Bacterial small subunit ribosomal RNA", at positions 1 to 671 of the family's 1533-position model. The record is from RNAcentral. Lineage: Bacteria; Pseudomonadati; Pseudomonadota; Gammaproteobacteria; Vibrionales; Vibrionaceae.
UAGAGUUUGAUCCUGGCUCAGAUUGAACGCUGGCGGCAGGCCUAACACAUGCAAGUCGAGCGGAAACACAAGGGAGCUUGCUCCUGAGGUGUCGAGCGGCGGACGGGUGAGUAAUGCCUAGGUAUCUGCCCAGUCGAGGGGGAUAACAGUAGGAAACGACUGCUAAUACCGCAUACGCCCUACGGGGGAAAGGAGGGGACCUUCGGGCCUUUCGCGAUUGGAUGAACCUAGGUGGGAUUAGCUAGUAGGUGGGGUAAUGGCUCACCUAGGCAACGAUCCCUAGCUGGUCUGAGAGGAUGAUCAGCCACACUGGAACUGAGACACGGUCCAGACUCCUACGGGAGGCAGCAGUGGGGAAUAUUGCACAAUGGGCGAAAGCCUGAUGCAGCCAUACCGCGUGUAUGAAGAAGGCCUUCGGGUUGUAAAGUACUUUCAGCGAGGAGGAAAGGUAGGUAGUUAAUAACUGCUUACUGUGACGUUACUCGCAGAAGAAGCACCGGCUAACUUCGUGCCAGCAGCCGCGGUAAUACGAGGGGUGCAAGCGUUAAUCGGAAUUACUGGGCGUAAAGCGUACGCAGGCGGUUUGUUAAGCGAGAUGUGAAAGCCCCGGGCUCAACCUGGGAACUGCAUUUCGAACUGGCAAACUAGAGUCCUGUAGAGGGGGGUAGAAUUUCA